RNAcentral lists this long non-coding RNA (1317 nucleotides) under Macaca mulatta (Rhesus monkey). RNAcentral's name for it is "lncRNA (ENSMMUG00000050487.1)". The record is from RNAcentral. Lineage: Eukaryota; Metazoa; Chordata; Mammalia; Primates; Cercopithecidae.
GCGGUGUCGGCUGUCUGCUCCGAGUGCGGGGCCGCUGAGCCCAUGCCCACCCGGAACUCACGCUGACCCGCGAGCGCCGCACGCAGCGCGCCCGCACCUCUCCCUCCGCCCCUCACGGUAAGCAGAGGGAGCCGGCUCCAGCCUCGGCCUACCCAGAGAGGAGCUCCCACAAUGCCUUGGUGGGCUGAAGGGCUCCUCAAGCGCUGCCAGAGUGGAUGCCGAGGCCGAGGAGGCUCCGAGAGUGAGGGCUGCUAGCAUGCUGUCACCUCUCAUUCCCGUCUCCUAAUGCUUGCUUCUAUGAGGUUGCCGUGGUCUGGGGCACAUCAGAAUCCUGACUUCAAUUUGGCAAUUUCCAUUAUAAUUGAAGGUCUGAAAAGUUCUUAAAAAGUUCACUUCUUGCCUAAGAAAAUAAUAUAUCUUAUGAAUAUAUGUUACCAUCUCACAGAACACAGUGUGGAGAAUACUGGUAUAAAACAUCAUUCCUCAUCAUGUGUUAUCAGCGUAUUGGUAAGCAACAAAGAACUAGUUCUACCCUUUUACCUUGUAAACCCAGCCCUUGACAUCUUAUUUAUGUGCAAGGCAAGUGCAAAGCAGGUUUGGGGACAGGACAGUCUCUGGAGUAUAAGGACAAGUUAUUUGUUUUCUAUGCUGAAGGGGCCAUAAAAACAGUAACAUAUUUAAUGAGGCCUCACUGUAGCUAUUUUAGCCUCCAUAAAACAUCUUAUUCAGCCUAACCUACAAUUACUUAAUGGACAGCGUUUUACAAAUAGCUAGUCUCCAGCCUCAAAUGUUUAUUAAGUGUCUGUUCCUUUUGGAGCCACUUUACUAAGGAGAGUCAUGCAAGAUUAAAAAGACAGAAUAUUAAAAAUUCAGCCAAGACACACCAGGGCUACCCUGAUGAUAACAACUGUGGUGUAACGUUUUUGAAUUCAUAUGGAUUCCCAUGUUCUCAGUAAAAGAUACCCUACCAUUUCCCAACAUUCUUUCAUUAAAAAAAUUAUUUGGACCAUCAUGGGUAUUUGGCAUUUCUUUUUUGCAUAAGACAGAUCCUCUGUGAGUUGUAUUUUUCUAAGAAAUGUUGAGUUGUAAAAGAUAAAGGUGAAUGAAUAUUUAUUUAUUUUAUACAGCACUUUAAAGUUUGCAGAAAACUCCCCCCCGACUAUCAUUUUUGUACUUACAAAAAUCCCAUGAGAAUGGCAGUAUUACAAGCACCACAAAAGUGACCAGUGUCCCUCAUCCAGCAAUGUAAAACCAGAUACCUACACCAAGGUUUGCAGCAAUAAAAAGAAAGACUUUUAUGGCAGGGUGCCAAGCAAG